Molecule: ribosomal RNA, 496 nt
Filed under: uncultured bacterium
Lineage: Bacteria
Description: partial 16S ribosomal RNA
Rfam family: Bacterial small subunit ribosomal RNA
Source: RNAcentral
AUGAACGCUGGCGGCGUGCCUAAUACAUGCAAGUCGAGCGAACGGACGAGAAGCUUGCUUCUCUGAUGUUAGCGGCGGACGGGUGAGUAACACGUGGAUAACCUACCUAUAAGACUGGGAUAACUUCGGGAAACCGGAGCUAAUACCGGAGGAUAUUUUGAACCGCAUGGUUCAAAAGUGAAAGACGGUCUUGCUGUCACUUAUAGAUGGAUCCGCGCUGCAUUAGCUAGUUGGUAAGGUAACGGCUUACCAAGGCAACGAUGCAUAGCCGACCUGAGAGGGUGAUCGGCCACACUGGAACUGAGACACGGUCCAGACUCCUACGGGAGGCAGCAGUAGGGAAUCUUCCGCAAUGGGCGAAAGCCUGACGGAGCAACGCCGCGUGAGUGAUGAAGGUCUUCGGAUCGUAAAACUCUGUUAUUAGGGAAGAACAUAUGUGUAAGUAACUGUGCACAUCUUGACGGUACCUAAUCAGAAAGCCACGGCUAACUACGUG